UACGUAGGGUGCAAGCGUUGUCCGGAAUUAUUGGGCGUAAAGAGCUCGUAGGCGGUUUGUCGCGUCUGCUGUGAAAACCCGAGGCUCAACCUCGGGCCUGCAGUGGGUACGGGCAGACUAGAGUGCGGUAGGGGAGAUUGGAAUUCCUGGUGUAGCGGUGGAAUGCGCAGAUAUCAGGAAGAAUAUCCGUGGCGAAAGCGGCUCUCUGGAACGGUACUGACGCUGAGACGCGAAAGCGUGGGGAGCGAACAGG
RNAcentral lists this ribosomal RNA (253 nucleotides) under uncultured bacterium. RNAcentral's name for it is "partial 16S ribosomal RNA". It matches the Rfam family "Bacterial small subunit ribosomal RNA", at positions 524 to 776 of the family's 1533-position model. The record is from RNAcentral.